Molecule: long non-coding RNA, 382 nt
Organism: Leptopilina boulardi
Lineage: Eukaryota; Metazoa; Arthropoda; Insecta; Hymenoptera; Figitidae
Exons: 3
Source: RefSeq, a predicted model, not a curated record
AACUCAAGUGACGCAGCUAGAAGGAUGAGUCGGAUAUUUGUAUCAUGCGAAAUGGCCUACAACGAUGCGACCUCGAGGAAUCAAGACCCUUGGCAAAAAACUUGGAUAGUCCCAAUUCAACAGAUUUAUUGAUUUUAACUCUUUAAUAAAACUGUCAUUGAAAGGAGGACAUAAAUCUAUAGAAACGUUAGUAUAAGGGCCAUGAUAUGAUAAGGACGGAAUUGGAAAGUUGAUUUUAUUACAUCAGGAUUUUCUCCUAAACCAGAAAAAUAAUGAAGAUAAAUUGAACAAUCUUGAAAAAAAAAUAAAAAAUUUGCAAUUGGAAAGUUCGGCAGACCUUAUGCGGAGAACAACGUAAAAAAGAGACAUAAGUCAUAAAAAU